AUUUGACCUCAAAUCAGGUAGGAACACCCGCUGAACUUAAGCAUAUCAAUAAGCGGAGGAAAAGAAAAUAACAAUGAUUCCCCUAGUAACUGCGAGUGAAGAGGGACAAGCUCAAAUUUUAAAUCUAUCGGGUUUUACCUGAUCGAGUUGUAAUUUGAAGAAGCGUUUUUUGCGUAUUUGGUCAGCCUAAGUCCUAUUGAAUGAGGCAUCAUGGAGGGUGAUAAUCCCGUCCGGUUGAUCAUUUGCGUUUUACGAUACGCUUUCUAAGAGUCAAGUUGUUUGGGAUUGCAGCUUAAAAUGGGAGGUAAAUUUCUCCUAAGGCUAAAUAACGGCGAGAGACCGAUAGCGAACAAGUACCGUGAGGGAAAGAUGAAAAGAACUUUGAAAAGAGAGUUAAACAGUACGUGAAAUUGUUGAAAGGGAAACGAUUGAAGCCAGUCGUACCUUCGGGUAAUCAGCCUUUCGGGUGCGAUUCUGUGGAGUGUGAGGAGCUUAAACACCUUCAUGUUUUGCAUAUUCGUACUCUUGGGUGUACUUGCCCGUGUGGUUGGUUAACAUCAAUUUUGGUGGUCAUAAAAUGACUGGGGGAAUGUAGCUUCGAUCUUGUAUUGAAGUGUUAUAGCCUUCGGUAGAUGUGAUGAUCGAGAUUGAGGAUUGCAACGGAUACCCUUUGGGGCUACCUGUCUGAUCUCUGAUCGUUGCUUUGGUGCCGAAAGCUUGCUUACGGUUAUCAAAGUCGAUGGUCAAUAGGUUAGAACGGGUUAAAUUCGUUAAGGAUGUUGACGUAAUGGUUUUAAACGACCCGUCUUGAAACACGGACCAAGGAGUCUAACAUAUAUGCGAGUGUUAGGGUGAUUAAACCCUUACGCGUAAUGAAAGUAAUUUUGGUGGGAACACUUUUGUGCACCAUCGACCGAUCAGGAUAUUUUUUGAUAGAUUUGAGUAAGAGCAUAUCUGCUAGGACCCGAAAGAUGGUGAACUAUGCCUGAAUAGGGUGAAGCCAGAGGAAACUCUGGU
RNAcentral lists this ribosomal RNA (1017 nucleotides) under Glomus sp. Att1192-27. RNAcentral's name for it is "eukaryotic LSU rRNA". It matches the Rfam family "Eukaryotic large subunit ribosomal RNA", at positions 1 to 868 of the family's 3401-position model. The record is from RNAcentral. Lineage: Eukaryota; Fungi; Glomeromycota; Glomeromycetes; Glomerales; Glomeraceae.